GAUGAACGCUGGCGGCGUGCCUAAUACAUGCAAGUCGAGCGAACAGACGAGGAGCUUGCUCCUCUGACGUUAGCGGCGGACGGGUGAGUAACACGUGGAUAACCUACCUAUAAGACUGGGAUAACUUCGGGAAACCGGAGCUAAUACCGGAUAAUAUAUUGAACCGCAUGGUUCAAUAGUGAAAGACGGUUUUGCUGUCACUUAUAGAUGGAUCCGCGCCGCAUUAGCUAGUUGUUAAGGUAACGGCUUACCAAGGCAAGGAUGCGUAGCCGACCUGAGCGGGGGAUCGGCCACAUGGGAACUGAGACGCGGUCCAGACUCCUACGGGAGGCAGCAGUAGGGAAUCUUCGGCAAUGGGCGAAAGCUUGACGGAGAAACGCCGCGUGAGUGAUGAAGGUCUUCUGAUCGUAAAACUCUGUUAUUAGGGAAGAACAAAUGUGUAAGUAACUAUGCACGUCUUGACGGUACCUAAUCAGAAAGCCACGGCUAACUACGUG
This 497-nucleotide ribosomal RNA is filed under the name uncultured bacterium. Its description in RNAcentral is "partial 16S ribosomal RNA". It matches the Rfam family "Bacterial small subunit ribosomal RNA", at positions 28 to 507 of the family's 1533-position model. The record is from RNAcentral.